Molecule: ribosomal RNA, 253 nt
Filed under: uncultured bacterium
Lineage: Bacteria
Description: partial 16S ribosomal RNA
Rfam family: Bacterial small subunit ribosomal RNA
Source: RNAcentral
GACAGAGGUGCCGAGCGUUAGGCGGAAUCACUGGGCUUAAAGCGUGUGUAGGCGGACCGUUAAGUACCUUGUGAAAUCCUGCGGCUCAACCGCAGAACGGCUGGGUAUACUGGCGGUCUUGGGCCACCUAGGGGCAGAUGGAACAAGUGGUGGAGCGGUGAAAUGCGUAGAUAUCACUUGGAACGCCAAAGGUGAAAACAGUCUGCUGGGGGUGUGCCGACGCUGAGACACGAAAGCCAGGGGAGCAAACGGG